RNAcentral lists this ribosomal RNA (1100 nucleotides) under Rothia sp. (in: high G+C Gram-positive bacteria). Its description in RNAcentral is "Rothia sp. (human oral metagenome) partial 23S ribosomal RNA". It matches the Rfam family "Bacterial large subunit ribosomal RNA", at positions 1122 to 2293 of the family's 2925-position model. The record is from RNAcentral. Lineage: Bacteria; Bacillati; Actinomycetota; Actinomycetes; Micrococcales; Micrococcaceae.
UUAAAAGAGUGCGUAAUAGCUCACUGGUCGAGAGACUCUGCGCCGAAGAUGUCCGGGGCUAAAGUGUAAAACCGAAGUCGUGUCAUAUGCAGCAAUGUAUAUGGGUAGGGGAGCGUUCUCAUCGGGCUGAAGCAGUACCGUAAGGAGUUGUGGACUGAUGAGAAGUGAGAAUGUCGGUAUGAGUAGCGAAAAGAAUGGUGAGAAUCCAUUCCACCGAAAGCCUAAGGGUUCCUGAGCAACGAUCGUCGUCUCAGGGUAAGUCGGGACCUAAGCCGAGGCGGAAAAGCGUAGGCGAUGGACAACAGGUUGAAAUUCCUGUACCGGUGUGAAUCGUUUGAUCGAUGGAGUGACACAGUAAGGUAGGUCAGCACGCGAUUGGAAGUGCGUGUUUAAGCAUGUAGGUUGAGCUAUAGGCAAAUCCGUAGCUCUAAAAGCUGAGAUGUGAUGACGAGUUACUAGCGAUAGUAACGAAGUGAUUGAUCCUACACUGUCGAGAAAAGCUUCUAGGUAGAGACACAUCGCCCGUACCAAAACCGACACAGGUAGGCGGGGAGAGAAUCCUAAGGUGCGCGGGAAAACCCUCGUUAAGGAACUCGGCAAAAUGCCUCCGUAACUUCGGGAAAAGGAGGACUCAUGUAGUGUGAAGAGCAGCAACGCUUGGAGCAUGAAUGAGUGGCACAAGAGAGGCGCAAGCGACUGUUUACCACAAACACAGGUGCCUGCUAAAGCGAAAGCUGACGUAUAGGUGCUGACACCUGCCCGGUGCUGGAANNNNNNNNNNCGGGUAAGUUCCGACCCGCACGAAAGGUGUAACGACUUGCGCACUGUCUCAACGAGGGACCCGGUGAAAUUGAAGUACCUGUGAAGAUGCAGGUUACCCGCGACUGGACAGAAAGACCCCAUGGAGCUUUACUGCAACCUAAGAUUGAACUUAGUUAAUGAAUGUACAGGAUAGGUGGGAGACGUAGAAUCUAGGACGCCAGUUUUAGAGGAGUCACUGUUGGGAUACCACCCUUUCAUUAAUUGAUUUCUAACGGGCCGAGUAACGACCGGCCGGACAGUCUUAGGCGGGCAGUUUGACUGGGGCGGUCGCCUCCUAA